AUGGCCGCCACCGCCGCGGCCACCGUGACGGCGACGGCGACGGCGGCGGCGUCGAGCUGCAGCAAGCGCGAGAGCGCCGGCAUUGCGGCGCCCGCCGACUUGGCGAAGAAGGCGAAGAAGGCGAGGUCGCCGCCGGCGGAGGAGAUGGAGGGCUUCUUCGCGGCGGCGGAGGGCGACGUCGCGCGGCGCUUCGCUGCCAAGUACAACUAUGACGUCGUCGCAGACGCUCCCAUGGACGGGCGGUACGAGUGGGUCCGACUGAGGCCGUAG
This 270-nucleotide ribosomal RNA is filed under the name Triticum aestivum (bread wheat). RNAcentral's name for it is "partial small subunit ribosomal RNA". Lineage: Eukaryota; Viridiplantae; Streptophyta; Magnoliopsida; Poales; Poaceae. The record is from RNAcentral.